UCCAGCAGCAACUCAACACUGGCAACCCACUGAAGCUAAGCAGGUGUGUGCCUGGUCAGUACCUGCAUGGGAGACCUCCUGGGAAAAACUAAGGUUGCUGCUGGAA
This 106-nucleotide ribosomal RNA is filed under the name Lepisosteus oculatus (spotted gar). Lineage: Eukaryota; Metazoa; Chordata; Actinopteri; Semionotiformes; Lepisosteidae. The record is from RNAcentral.